CUAUACAUGCAAGUCGAGCGGACCGACGGGAGCUUGCUCCCUUAGGUCAGCGGCGGACGGGUGAGUAACACGUGGGUAACCUGCCUGUAAGACUGGGAUAACUCCGGGAAACCGGGGCUAAUACCGGAUGCUUGAUUGAACCGCAUGGUUCAAUCAUAAAAGGUGGCUUUUAGCUACCACUUACAGAUGGACCCGCGGCGCAAUAGCUAGUUGGUGAGGUAACGGCUCACCAAGGCGACGAUGCGUAGCCCACCUGAGAGGGUGAUCGGCCACACUGGGACUGAGACACGGCCCAGACUCCUACGGGAGGCAGCAGUAGGGAAUCUUCCGCAAUGGACGAAAGUCUGACGGAGCAACGCCGCGUGAGUGAUGAAGGUUUUCGGAUCGUAAAACUCUGUUGUUAGGGAAGAACAAGUACCGUUCGAAUAGGGCGGUACCUUGACGGUACCUAACCAGAAAGCCACGGCUAACUACGUGCCA
RNAcentral lists this ribosomal RNA (480 nucleotides) under Bacillus licheniformis. RNAcentral describes it as "bacterial SSU rRNA". It matches the Rfam family "Bacterial small subunit ribosomal RNA", at positions 49 to 510 of the family's 1533-position model. Lineage: Bacteria; Bacillati; Bacillota; Bacilli; Caryophanales; Bacillaceae. The record is from RNAcentral.